Molecule: unclassified non-coding RNA, 264 nt
Filed under: Hevea brasiliensis (rubber tree)
Lineage: Eukaryota; Viridiplantae; Streptophyta; Magnoliopsida; Malpighiales; Euphorbiaceae
Source: RNAcentral
CUCCACCAUAAUAUAAUUAACAUUAAAAAUUUAGCAUUCUGAAAACAACUUGCUAAACAAAAAUCCCCCAUCAUCCUCUCGCCCUGCUACAAAUUUAUUUUCACCAUUGGCAUUGCUCCAUCGCUUUCUCUUACCUGUUAUUUACAAAUAUAACAAAAUAUGGAUCCAUCACUUCUCAAUCACUGGUUUCCAUACAUAUAUAGCAACAUACCAAACUCGGCUCAUCUUGAUCUCGAAAUUACAACUUAAUUAAUUUAAUUUUCU